UGGCGAACGGGUGAGUAACACGUGAGUAACCUGCCCCUAACUUUGGGAUAACGCUUGGAAACAGGUGCUAAUACCGGAUACGAGCUUCCUUGGCAUCUUGGAAGUUUGAAAGCUCCGGCGGUUGGGGAUGGACUCGCGGCCUAUCAGCUUGUUGGUGAGGUAGUGGCUCACCAAGGCUUCGACGGGUAGCCGGCCUGAGAGGGUGACCGGCCACAUUGGGACUGAGAUACGGCCCAAACUCCUACGGGAGGCAGCAGUGGGGAAUAUUGCACAAUGGGCGCAAGCCUGAUGCAGCAACGCCGCGUGCGGGAUGACGGCCUUCGGGUUGUAAACCGCUUUCAGCAGGGACGAAGCUAACGUGACGGUACCUGCAGAAGAAGCACCGGCUAACUACGUGCCAGCAGCCGCGGUGAUACGUAGGGUGCGAGCGUUGUCCGGAUUUAUUGGGCGUAAAGAGCUUGUAGGCGGUUUGUCGCGUCGGGAGUGAAAACUCAGGGCUUAACCCUGAGCCUGCUUCUGAUACGGGCAGACUUGAGGAAGGUAGGGGAGAUUGGAAUUCCUGGUGAAGCGGUGGAAUGCGUAGAUAUCAGGAGGAACACCAGUGGCGAAGGCGGAUCUCUGGACCUUUCCUGACGCUGAGAAGCGAAAGCGUGGGGAGCAAACAGGCUUAGAUACCCUGGUAGUCCACGCCGUAAACGGUGGGUACUAGGUGUGGGGGACAUUCCACGUUCUCCGUGCCGCAGCUAACGCAUUAAGUACCCCGCCUGGGGAGUACGGCCGCAAGGCUAAAACUCAAAGGAAUUGACGGGGCCCCGCACAAGCGGCGGAGCAUGCGGAUUAAUUCGAUGCAACGCGAAGAACCUUACCUGGGUUUGACAUAUGCCGGAAACAUCUAGAGAUAGGCGCCCCUUUUUGGGUCGGUAUACAGGUGGUGCAUGGCUGUCGUCAGCUCGUGUCGUGGAGAUGUGGGGUAAGUCCCGCACGAGCGCAACUCUCGUCCUAAUGUGCCAGCGGGUAAUGCCCGGGACUCAUAGGGACGCUGGGUCACUCGAGGAGGUGGGGGAUGACGUCAGUCAUCAUGCCCUAUGUCCAGGGCUUCACGCCAUGCCACCAUGGCCUGUACUAAAGGACUGCGUACUGUAGGGUGAGCGAUUCAAGGCAGUUCCAGUCCGAGUUGGGGUCGCAGAACUGAACCUUGGAUUUCGGGAGUGCAUGGAUACUCCUCAGAUCUGC
This 1233-nucleotide ribosomal RNA is filed under the name uncultured bacterium. Its description in RNAcentral is "partial 16S ribosomal RNA". It matches the Rfam family "Bacterial small subunit ribosomal RNA", at positions 96 to 1335 of the family's 1533-position model. The record is from RNAcentral.